AGUGAACGCUGGCGGUAGGCCUAACACAUGCAAGUCGAACGGCAGCACAGUAAGAGCUUGCUCUUACGGGUGGCGAGUGGCGGACGGGUGAGGAAUACAUCGGAAUCUACUUUUUCGUAGGGGAUAACGUAGGGAAACUUACGCUAAUACCGCAUACGACCUACGGGUGAAAGCAGGGGAUCUUCGGACCUUGCGCGAUUGAAUGAGCCGAUGUCGGAUUAGCUAGUUGGCGGGGUAAAGGCCCACCAAGGCGACGAUCCGUAGCUGGUCUGAGAGGAUGAUCAGCCACACUGGAACUGAGACACGGUCCAGACUCCUACGGGAGGCAGCAGUGGGGAAUAUUGGACAAUGGGCGAAAGCCUGAUCCAGCCAUACCGCGUGGGUGAAGAAGGCCUUCGGGUUGUAAAGCCCUUUUGUUGGGAAAGAAAAGCAGCAGGUUAAUACCCCGCUGUUCUGACGGUACCCAAAGAAUAAGCACCGGCUAACUUCGUG
Molecule: ribosomal RNA, 492 nt
Filed under: uncultured bacterium
Lineage: Bacteria
Description: partial 16S ribosomal RNA
Rfam family: Bacterial small subunit ribosomal RNA
Source: RNAcentral